AGCAGCCGCGGUAAUUCCAGCUCCAAUAGCGUAUAUUAAAGUUGUUGCAGUUAAAAAGCUCGUAGUUGAAUUUCGGGAUUGGCGCAUCGGUCGUGCCUCACGGGGUAUGAACUGGUGCAGUCAAUUUCUCACCUUCUGGAGAACCGCGAUGUCCUUAAUUGGAUGCCGCGGGGAACCAGGACCUUUACUUUGAAAAAAUUAGAGUGUUUAAAGCAGGCAUUUUUGCUUGAAUACAUUAGCUGGAAUAAUAAAAUAGGACGGCAUGGUUCUAUUUUGUUGGUUUCUAUGGACCACCGUAAUGAUUAAUAGGGAUAGUUGGGGGCAUUAGUGAUUCAAUUGUCAGAGGUGAAAUUCUUGGAUUUAUUGAAGACUAACUACUGCGAAAGCAUUUGCCAAGGAUGUUUUCAUUAAUCAAGAACGAAAGUUAGGGGAUCGAAGACGAUCAGAUACCGUCGUAGUCUUAACCAUAAACUAUGCCGACUAGGAAUCAGACGAUGUUAAUUUUUUCAAUGACUCGUUU
Molecule: ribosomal RNA, 520 nt
Filed under: uncultured Entrophospora
Lineage: Eukaryota; Fungi; Glomeromycota; Glomeromycetes; Entrophosporales; Entrophosporaceae
Description: SSU rRNA
Rfam family: Eukaryotic small subunit ribosomal RNA
Source: RNAcentral